GUCCAGACUCCUACGGGAGGCAGCAGUGGGGAAUAUUGCACAAUGGGCGAAAGCCUGAUGCAGCAACGCCGCGUGAAGGAAGACGGUUUUCGGAUUGUAAACUUCUGUUCUUAGUGAAGAAUAAUGACGGUAACUAAGGAGCAAGCCACGGCUAACUACGUGCCAGCAGCCGCGGUAAUACGUAGGGGGCAAGCGUUAUCCGGAUUUACUGGGUGUAAAGGGUGCGCAGGUGGCAGGGCAAGUCAGAUGUGAAAGCCCGGGGCUCAACCCCGGUAUUGCAUUUGAAACUGUCCGGCUAGAGUGCAGGAGAGGUAAGCGGAAUUCCUAGUGUAGCGGUGAAAUGCGUAGAUAUUAGGAGGAACACCAGUGGCGAAGGCGGCUUACUGGACUGUAACUGACACUGAGGCACGAAAGCGUGGGGAGCAAACAGGAUUAGAUACCCGAGUA
RNAcentral lists this ribosomal RNA (447 nucleotides) under uncultured bacterium. RNAcentral's name for it is "bacterial SSU rRNA". It matches the Rfam family "Bacterial small subunit ribosomal RNA", at positions 329 to 792 of the family's 1533-position model. The record is from RNAcentral.